This is a long non-coding RNA of Mirounga angustirostris (Northern elephant seal), 9891 nucleotides long. RefSeq lists it as uncharacterized. The transcript has 2 exons. Lineage: Eukaryota; Metazoa; Chordata; Mammalia; Carnivora; Phocidae. The record is from RefSeq and is a predicted model, not a curated record.
UCCCCCUGCUUCUGUUCCCUCUCUCAUUGUCUCUCUCUCUCUCGGUCAAAUAAAUAAAAAAUCUAAAAGAUUCGUCAAAUCAAUAAAAUGUUAGGAAAGCAUUGCUUUGUAAAGCACUUAGUAACAAGGAUUAAAUCACAUUGGUCAAAGUGAACUUUUAUUUCCCUAUUACAUGUGUAGGAGUUACCAUUCAGUGUUCUGUAAUAUGUAAACAUGGACAACACUAACAUUGUAGGUAAGUGCAGGAACCCAAGGAGUAUUUUGAGAGUGUAGUCAAAAUAUACUCAUGGGCCACCUGGGUGGCUCAGUCAGUUAAACGGCUGACUGUUGAUCUCAGGGUCGUGAGUUCAAGCCCUAUAUCACGCUGAGUGUGGAGCCUACUUAAAAUAUACUCAACAUGGGAGAGCUGUUUUUGACAUUUUGCUCAAACCCAAACUCUACUACUGAAGAAAAUUCAUUUUUUUCAUGGAAAGUUUUAGAACAGGUAAUUGAUACAAAAAGUACACAGAAAUGGUUGGUACAGAUGACCUUGAAGUUUGUUUUUAAUAUUUUUAUUUAUUUGAGAGAGAGAGAGAACAGAGGGAGAGUAGGAGGGAGAAGCAGACUCCCGUGGAGCAAGCAGGGAGCCCGAUGUGGGACUCGAUCCCAGGACCCUGCGAUCAUGACCUGAGCCCAAAGGCAGCCUCUCAACAGAUUGAGCCACCCAGGUGCCCCUGACAUUGAAGUUUCUUUUGGACUUCCCUGAUCCUGAGAUCAAAACUGAAUUUUUAUUGCAAACUAGCCUCUGGCAUUGAAGGUUAAUCUAUAAUUGGUGAAUUUAUUGGAGUCAUUCAGUUUCCUGCUGUGAUUCUGAGAGAAUCUUAGUUCAGAGGACAAAAAACCUAAUUUAAUAUAAAACAACUAAUAGGAGAAAGUUGACGUGUUAACACAAAUACUCAACUGAAAACCAAAAGGCUUAGCCUGACAACCAAAACUUGUUUCAACACCUCUACUAUAUAAUAUACUAAGGAGCAGGGAGUUACUUGUGAAAUUUCCUGCAAUUAACUUUGCUCCAAGGCAUGUACUUUGCAGUGGAUAUACAUAGUUUUAGUAUAGCAGCAAUUCCCAGUUGAAACUUCAGAUUUAUACUUAUCAUAACCUGCUAUUAAUCAGUGUUCCCGUUUGUAGCAGCUUUAGUCCUCUAGUCCCCCUGACUCAUUGCUUCUAUUCUCAUUUUGUUUUCCUUUGCCAAGUGUCCAUGUAGUUUGUUCAUUCAGAAACAGAAUUGGUAUGAUUGUAGUGUAGUCACCCAGUAAUUUUCAAUUUUAUAUUAUUUAACCUUGCAAGAGAGCUAAUUAUAAUGGGUAAUAUGGUUAGUUUUAUAAAGAUGCUUGUCAUAUGAAAUUGAGUAUGAAGUUUGUUACUCUUGUGACAUUAAAAGGAAAGUAGCAGAUGCCAUCUCGAAAUUGAUUUAUUUUCAUUUCCUGUAUGAUAGCAUCUUUUUCUUUCUUUUCUCUUUUCUUCUCUUUUCUUUUCUUUCUUUUUUUAGCAUCCCUUCCUGCUCUUCCCAGACAGCAAUGAUAAAAGCUCUGGAAAACUUAAAAUGCAGCCAAGGGGAUUAGUUUCAGAAACAACUGUAAUUUUAAAGAUUGAUGGAAGGAAAGUUCUUUAAUCCACAGGUAGCUUUUUAAGCACCCUUACUAUUUUCCAGUUUCCCUUUUUACUUCCACAUGUAUUUUAUCCACACUUGGCCUCUCUCCCUGCCCUCCUGGAAGCUCUGGUACUUCCACUGCAGUACAGCUUUCGUUUCUCUCCCACCCUUCCGGGCCAUGUGCAUCCUUGACCUUGACCCUAUAAAUUGUGUUUUUUUCCAAUUUAAUUUUACUCAUUUUUCAACUGACUUGGUAGAUCACUUAUUUUGUGAAUUAAGUUGACAAGUAAGGUUGAAAACAAUUUUCUUAUAAAAUUGGGCAGUUUACAAUUUAAUUCUUUCUCACCUUUAGAGGGUUGCUAGCCAGUGGACUGGAUACUCCUCUUAUUUUGCUGGUGAGAAAAAUCAACAUUUGGGAAAUUGCUUCCCCUAGAAUGAAGUUGACUACAACAAAAGGAAUGCUUCAGGGACUUGGACAUUAAAAUUAGAGAGGAGAAACAAAUUUUCUUUUACUAGGCAUUUAGAAAAAUUUUAAACCAUAAAUUUAUUUAAUAGUACUAUAUUGUGGGCCUAGUGAAUUUAAGCUUUCUCAUGUUGGAAAUAUUUACUCCAUCCUUCUUUUCAGUUAGGUAGCCUGUGAAUCUUUCCAAACAAUUAAAAUUCUGGCUGAAGGUAACCCUGUCUUAAAAUAACGCUCUGUGUUCCCCUAGUGUUUGCUAACUAUAUUCCUAGCCAUUUUAGUGUAGUUACACAGACAAGAGCUACAUGUAUCUGUCUGCAUGGAUGAUUGAUCAGCCAACAACAACCGUCUGAGAACAGGCUUGAGAAUUCAGUAUCGAUCCGUGCAUGUUGGAAUCAUAAACAUCAUCCUGCCUUUGGAACAGCUGGAUGUCAUUAUGAGUCUCCUGGACAGAGGCCAGGUGGAGCAGUUUCUCUUCAGCACUAGGGGGAAAUGUCAGCUGUAGGAAAUAAAGAUAACAUGCUGAGUUUGGGAUUUGGUGGCUUCCACAAUAUUUAGCUAGCUCCAUGGUCCACCUCCUCUGUCCAUCGGCUUGGAGAUACGCACAUGUGGUGUUGGUAUGUGGCCCAAGGGUUUAAUUAACUGUACACAGAAAAACAGGGUCGUCUUAGGUUAAACAACUUAAUGGAAACUCAUUAGAAACACCACAUUCAUGUUCACUGAUGGUCAGCAUGAGGAUCACAGAGCGGUCCGGGCUUUGUGGACGGUGGGAUGUGAGCCAGGCUGUGGCCUGGAAAGACAGCCACAGCUGUGUUCUACCUUCUUUGCGCUGUAGUCUCAGGGCUCAGUCGUGAGGGUGUGGAUGUGUUUUUCUCUUCACUUGCUUGUGAUCACUGUGUAUAGGCGAAGUCUGCCAGGUGUGGCCACUUACUUGUAAUUGCAUGAAGUAUCUUUUCUAAUGUUAAAGACAAACUAAAUUAUUGUCUAGUAAUUAAAACUUUAGAGUACCAGCUAGCUCAUUGUACAUUAACUGCCCUUAUUUAUGGAAAGUUAAUAACAAAUCCUAUUCCUGUGUUUUAGCUUGCAGUCUUUGGAGGUAAGCAGGGUCAUACCAGGUCUGAAUUAGGAUGAACGGCCUCUAAAGAGCAUCUGAGUGAGGCAGGGGUGUGUGAGACCAGCAAGGCAACAAGGAAAUGGCUUUGGGGGGAACAGGAGCCUGUUUUCUUCCUUCUCAUCUCUGUGCAGCAUUCAUUCUGCUCUGCAGACCUCUACAGGUGAAGUACUUCAGGGGAGGGAGCUGCAGUGCAUGGGAGAAGAUUUUCUAAGUCUGGCGGAGUGCUUUAACGUGUUCUGUAACUACACACCUCUGGUUGGUGGCCUGGCACUUAGCGGAAUGGAUCUGGUAUUCCUCCAGGUUUUAGUGCCCUAUGUCUUUGACCUUGCCCUUUCUGACAUAGAACAAAAAUGCCUGACCUUGGAAUACUUAAAAAUUGUAAUGCUACCUCUAGUGAGAUUUAAGUCUAUCAGUCAUAUUGUAAAAAUUCUUUGAGUGUUUACUAAUUCUUAUUAAUUCCUACUAAUUGCACUCCAUUUUUUUUUUUUGAAAGGUGUGAGGAGGGAGUUGUGUUUGUUUUUUGCUUGCAUGACCCUCUUCAUAAGAUCUUACUCUGUCUUUUAAAAGAUACCCAUAGGGAUGCCUGGGUGUCUCAGUCAAUUAAGCAUUUGACUCUUCAUCUCGGCUCAGGUCUUGAUUCAGCGUUGUGAGUUCAAGCCCCACGUUGGGCUCCACACUGGGCAUGGAGCCUCUCAUGGACUAACCUGAGAACAUUUAUGAAUCUGAUGAAUUCAGACUUCUUAUAUAUUUUAUCCACACAGAAACAAAGAAGACCCUCUCAGUUAAGCAAUUGGAUACAUUCUUGAAUUUAUCCUCCAGCAGAUUGGUGGCUUGAUAUAUUAUUCCAUUAGCAGCGUGUCAGCCUUCAGUAAACUAAAUAUGGCGUGGCUAGCCUUAUGGCUAGCUGGUUCUGUGCCAUAGGACCACAGGAAGUCUUUGUGGGGGUCUGCUAUGGGAUUAGGCUUUCCUCAUUGAAGUUGGAUUCCAGUUAGUUAUUUUAGAGAAUGUUAUUUUUAAAUUUCAAAGCCAUUUCUUCUUGCAAGUCCACCUACCUAUAUGAGGGCAUUCCUCCUGACCAGCUCUUUUGAAGUUUUCCUCAAGAUGUCUGUCACCUUUUAGGGCCCCUGCUUACCAAGUCCUUCACACAGAACAACUGCUUGGUCACAUGAAAUGCCAUUCCUCAGGUUGAAGAAAUAAAGGUUUCUGACUCCUCCUCGUUUGUGAGGGUAGAAUUUCACUUUUUUUAGUGUUCACAGACUGUAAACAGGAGAAAUUGAAAAAUCCAUUAUUAAUAUUCCAACUUCUGAGGAGCUAGUAGAAGAGUGGAAAAGUAAACAUCUGUUAGUUAACCGAAAUUAUUAACUGAAGGAAAUCUGGAAAUUUAUUUGCUGUUUCAAUCUUACAAAAAUUAGACUACAUGUAUAUUCACAUGUAUUUUUUAAUACAUCUAAUAGAUACCUCCUCCCCCACCUAAAAAGAAAAAAAAAGUUGAAUGAAUGAAAUGGAAUUUUAUGGUUGGUUUUAUUUUGAAUACAUAUUGUAAGUGUAUGACUGCAUUUCAUGAUGGAUUAAUUACAAUUGCUUGUAAGAUGAGCAAAAGUCAAUUAGUGGGGUUUUGAAAGGUCAGCAGCUGAUUUUUCUCUGCUAAAUCAAGGAUAUGAAUAACAUGGUUGAAAUUCUCAAGUGAUCCCAACUAUUUAGCCAUUAGCUUCAACCAUAAUGUCCGGAAAGUCCACAGAGAAGAUCUGUGUAAGUCCUAGCGAAUCAUUAGGUCUAGACCACUAGAAUCAAAAAUUUGUGAUUUUUUUUUUUUCUCUUUUUACCUAAUUAUGAGUAGGACUUUUAUUUUCUUCCUCUCAGCCCUGCUCCCUGUUGAAUUAUGGAACAGGUAAAUACCUUGAGUUGUGGCUUGCACAGUGAAUCUUGACUUGAGAAGCCAGGGGUCCUCCCUCAUAGGGGAGGGGGCCAGUGAACUCAUAAGUUUGUUUGGAUAGCAUGCUUCUGGAAUAUGAAGAGUUUUUGGUUUUUUUUUUAAAGAUUUUAUUUAUUUAUUUGACAGAGAGAGACACAGCGAGAGAGAGAACACAAGCAGGGGGAGUGGGAGAGGGAGAAGCAGGCCUCCCGCCAAGCAGGGAGCCCGAUGUGGGGCUCGAUCCCAGGACCCUGGGAUAGACCUGAGCCGAAGGCAGACGCUCAACGACUGAGCCACCCAGGCGCCCCGGAAUAUGAAGAGUUUUGAAGGAAAACAAGAGGAACUUGCUCUUGAUGGGAAAUGACCUGAGCAGUUGUUUUAAGGAAGCUUUCUCUGAUUGCAGAGGCAAGAGUGUGGAGCCUGGAAGGCCAGGCCCUGAUCUGAGGUGGAAUGAUGAAGAAAUUGAGAUGCAGAGAGGAAGAGACCUGCCCAAGGUCAAAGAGCAAGUCAGUGGAAGGCCUGAGAUUAGACUUGCGGUCUUCUAGGUUUCCCAUCUGUUGUUUACCACUUUUGCUGGAAACAGUUCAGUCUAAUGGAAUUUGCUCUGCCCGAUGUCUACAGUGUGUUAGGUGAUAUCUCUCACUGCUUCCUACACUCUAAAGCAGCCCAAUAAUGCCCCUUGAAAAUGGAUCCACAUUCUCCUACCUUUAGUUUGCAAUACCUCCACCUGGAGGAAGUGAGGGUGACAGCAGAGUGCAGGAAGGCACGCGGAAGGGCUCGGGGAGUGGCUCCACUACACGCUCCGGGCAGCUUAGUUGAGAGUCCUGAGCAUUUUCAGAGAACCCGCAGGCAAAUAGCCCUCUUCCCGUUUGUCCUGGGGGUAGAGUAGGGAGCAUUUCCUGGCUGUGCAGUUCUACACACACGGAUGCCAGCCUGUCCUAAGCCAGAGGCCAUGGGGUAGGUAAUGAGGCCUGAGCAUGCAAGUUUUGAAAAAACUCCACAGGUAAUUCUGAUAGACAAACAGCGAGGAUCUAAACUUACUAGGAACCAUUACUCUGGACUGAAGGGGGUAAAUGGUGCUGCUUUUGAUGAGAGAUCAGUAUGAUUUGAGUGUUUUUAAAAAUUAAAUAUGAAUAUAAAUUAUUAGUUGAAGUGCCUAAACUGAGGAAUGAGUGUUGUAAUAUUGUUAAUAUUAAUAUUGUAAGAUCAGGCUGAAGAAUCAGGCUUAAUGGACUGCAUUUUUGUAAGUGCUGAUUUAGUCCAAAGCAAAAAGUAAGAGCUGUUUGCUCAUCAUAAACCAGACUUCGCAGGGAUCUUUGGACUUCCUUUAAAAACUAAGGCAGCCAGUAAUGGAACCAGCUGACUAUAAUCUCGAGAUUGGGUUAUUCUGUGUGUCUGGUUCUCUCCCUUUCAAAAAGUGGAAGAUUAAUAUUUUUUAAAAGACUUUUGAACUGAGAGAUGUUGGUAUUUUAUUACUAUUAUUAAUAAUUCUAGGGGAAAUUAUACCAUUUUAUGAUGGAUUUUUCCAAAGGCGAGUAUCUUUAUUUCACUUCCGGUUUACAGUUUAGGUUUCUUCUUCUUUUUUUUUUGUUUAUUUAUUUGAGAGAGUGUGGGAGCACGAGCAGGGGAAGGGGCACAGGGAGAGGGAGAAGCAGACUCCCUGCUGAGCAGGGAGCCCAACAUGGGGCUCUGAUCCCAGGACCCUGAGAUCAUGACUUGAGCCGAAGGCAGAUAGAUGCUUAACUGAAUGAGCCACCCAGGUGCCCAGUUUAAGUUUCUUCUGUCAACAUUUAUCUUGAAAGAAGAUUUUUAUCUGCAAAUUUUUUUUUAAAGCAUUUUUUUUUUAAGAUUUUAUUUGACAGAAAGCAGAUAGAGCAGGAACACAAGCAGGGGGAGUGGGAGAGGGAGAAGCAGGCUUCCUGCUGAGCAGGGAGCCCGAUGCGGGGCUCGAUCCCAGGAUCCUCGGAUCAUGACCUGAGCUGAAGGUGGACGCUUAACGACUGAGCCACCCAGGCGCCCCUUAUCUGCAACUUUUGAGAGAUGUUUCCUUGGAGAGGACCCUCUCAGUAGUAAUCACUCUGUUAGCCACUCUCAGGGCUGUAAGUUAACUGCUUUACAGAUGGCCAUAGCAGGGGUACCUGGCUGGCUCAGUUAAGCGUCUGCUUUCUGCUCGGGUCAUGAUCUCUCAGGGUCCUGGGAUCAAGCCCCACGUUGGGCUCCCUGCUCGGCGGGACGUCUGCCUCUCCCUCCCCCACCCCCCCGCUCGUUCUGUCUCUCGUUCAAAUAAAUAAAAUCUAAAAAUAAAAAAUAAAAUAAAAUGGCCAUAGCCACGACAUCCUGGUCUUCAAAUGCUACCUUCUUUGCCCAGAACUGGGCUGUGUACUUUUCCUUUACUGCUAUUCUGUUUUACAGGUGUGACUCAGCACAUCCAUAACAUGGAUCAGAAGAGAGACAUAGGAAGGUAGAACAAAUUAUUAAGGGUUCUUUUACUUGUUGGGAACAAAUACCUAGACAGAGCCACUUAUUGGCAGCUUAAAAACUUAAAAGUAGUGAGGAAAGGGUAUAAAAAUCCCUCCUUGGAACACAGAAAACACCUACUUAUAAAACACCUUGUCUGCCAUAUUUUUCAGGUCCUAAAGCACUUCUUCACAUUACUUAAAGAGACUAAAACCUAUACUUUGCGUGUGUGUGUGUGUUUUAAAGGUUUUUGUUGUUGCUUGAUAGGAAUAUUCCUCUGCUAAUGUUUUUGAGUAGCACCUGGAAUGCUGAAACGACAGGAGAACUCCCAGGUCACUACGUGUGGGUAUCCGUGAACAGCCAUGGGCUACUUUUCUGUGGUUUAGCUACUUGAAAGCAACACAUGGCCUCUGCGAAGUAUCAGACAGUUGAGCCACAGAAAUCCCUUAACAUUCUCUGCUUAGAGAUCAUUCUGUUGGCCUUAAACUUGUGAGAAAGGAAGACUUUCCGGGGGGGGCGGGUGGCCAUCUCUGAGGAUAUGCAGUUUCAAUGCCAAGAUGUAAGUAGCUUGUGCCUUCAUGAAAAUUUAGACAGUGCUCAUUUCAUCUGUUGACAGAGGCAGCAUUAUGGAUAAGCCCAGGAUUGAAACCCAGCUCCUUGGACGAGUUACCUAACCUCUCUGUGCCUCAGUUUCCCCCAUAUGCCAAAUGGAGAUGGUAAUGGUACCUAGCUCAUUGGUAAUGGUACCUCGCUCGUUGGCUGUAGUGAAACUGAGUGUACAUGUAAAGUGCUUACAGGGGCCUGGCUUGUAGCGAGGGCUUUGUAAGUGCACACUGUCGCUUCUGCCAUUCCUGUUGCUAUAAUUAUUAGUGUUAAUUCUUGUUAACUCUUCUCUGCUCCCAGAUCAUGUUGAGUUUGUAAAACUUCCACAUCCUUGUUUUUUUUCUUCUGAAUUUAUUUACCUUGAUUUUUUUAGACUUAUGUUUUAUGUAAAUAUUUCAAACAUGCGAAACUAGAAAGGACAUAUUCAUAGGAAAAUGCUAUUUUUAAAGGUAAAAAAAAGCAAAAGUGUCCCUUGAUGUGUGAAAAGUAGAAAUCGCAAGCAUAUUACCUUGAGAUAUAUGGAUCAUCUUAUGUGCAUGUACUGUACAUAGUAAUUACCAUUUUGUAGACUUUAUCCCCCAGCCUUAGAGUAUAAGUAUUUUUUUAACUAUUCUUUAGCCUUUGAGUAGUUUUAAGUGGUUUUGGACCAUGAAAAAUUACUGGUUUGUUGAAUAUGUUGCUUCCUUCCUGGGAUCGAGCCCUGCAUCGGGCUCUCUGCUCGGCGGGAAGCCUGCUUCUCCCUCUCCCACUCCCCCUGCUUGUGUUCCCUCUCUCGCUGUCUGUCAAAUAAAUGAAUAAAAUCUUUAAAAAAAAAAAAAUUGUAAGCAAAACGGCAGUGAAAAUCUUACAACGUGAUUGGGGUUAUCUUGGAAGAUUAUUUUUGUUUUGCUUUUUUGAUUAGGAAUCUUUGCAUUUAUUUCCUGGUACAUGGGAAUCUUACUAUAACAUGGUUCUUUGGGAAGUUAGCCUUACAAAGGUGAAAUGGCUCCUGUCCAUGUAAUACCACCAAGUCUCCAUUACUUGGGGCUCAAGGUGGACCUGCUUUGCGUCAAGACCUGGUGCGUGGGAACAGGACUGAGCCGGCUGUCGUGUGAUUCUCCGUGACAUUACUGGCUAGACCUGAGCUGUCUAAUAUGAGAUCUAGCCAUGUGUCCUUAUUUAAAUGUAAAUUAGAAUUAAAUAAAACAAAAAAUUUCAGUUCUUCAGUCACACCAGCCCUCAUGUGUCUGUCCAUAGCCACAUGUGGCCAGCAGCUACCAUACUGGACAGUGCAGAUACAGAACAUUUUCAUCAUGCAGAAAGUUCUGUUAAACAGUGCAGCUCUGGCUUACUCUCCUGCUGCUCACCCCGACCAUUAAGGAAGCCUUACACUGACAGGGAAGAGCUGACGGUUCCUCAUGGGGGUUUCCAAAGCAGAGGGUGACAUAGUUUGCCUGGUUUUGUAUAUAAGGUUUGAUUGGAACACAGCCACACUCAUUUGUUUACCCAUUCUCUGUGAGUGCUUCUGUGCUAGGUGGCGGAGCUAAGGGUUGCAUUGUUAGGCCAGGGUCCACACGUGGCCCACAAGGUCUAAAGUAUUUAUUCUGGUCCUUUAUGAAAAAGUUUGUCAACCCCUUUUACCUAGACCAGGAUUUCUCAACCUCAGCACUGUUGAAUUUUGGCCCGGAUAAUUGUUGCAAAGGGCUGUCAUGUGUAUGGUAGGAUGUUUAGCAGCA